UUACUUUUUUCGUAAGAUAUAUUCAUUAAUUUGUUUAUUAUUUUAUCCUGUAGUAAUUGCAGAGUUACAAAUUUCUGUAUAAUAAUUUAUCCUAUCUGUACUGUAAUGUAUAUCUAAUUCUAGAUUUUCAAUGUUAUUUAUUAUCUUGUGUUGUUCUUCUCGUAGUGAGUUUUUUAAAUUAUAUAAACUAUCACAUGUACUUUUUUCUAAAUUUUCUAAGGUUUCUUCUAUCCAUAUUAAUUUUUCUUUUAGAUUUUUCAUUAUUUUUCUAAUUCGGUUUCUAUAAUUUAUUUCAUUAUUUAGAUUAUCUUGAUUUUCUCUAGUUUGUCUAAUAUAUUCUAACAUCUCUUAAUCUGUAUAAUAUCCUUCUGGGUAAAUUUCUUCGCAUAACUGUUCUAGAC
This 401-nucleotide long non-coding RNA is filed under the name Capsicum annuum. RNAcentral describes it as "long non-coding RNA (CANN_LNC008272)". Lineage: Eukaryota; Viridiplantae; Streptophyta; Magnoliopsida; Solanales; Solanaceae. The record is from RNAcentral.